CGGGUCUUGUUUCUUAUUUCCAUUCUAUCAUCUGCCUGCCUUAAUUCUUUAAAUCACAGAUAAAAACAUGAUUGCGAAAGAAACUACAAAGUAUAAACACAGCUGAAUCAGGCUGACAUUUAUUUUGAUUUAGUGAAGGCAACAGCAUUUGUCAAUCAAACCCAUUUCAGGAAGAGAAAGUAAAUAAGAAACAAGACCCGUCUCAACUAAUAGUGGCCAUGUUGAAGUACUAAACCAGGCAAAACAUUACCAAUAAAGGUAUUAGCAAUCAAUAACCCAAUAGAUCACCAGCUAAAAUAUGGUUCAAGAGUCACGGGACUUCACAAUGAAGUUUUGGCGACUGAUUGGAUUCAUCACAACUGG
This 363-nucleotide unclassified non-coding RNA is filed under the name Hevea brasiliensis (rubber tree). The record is from RNAcentral. Lineage: Eukaryota; Viridiplantae; Streptophyta; Magnoliopsida; Malpighiales; Euphorbiaceae.